Molecule: ribosomal RNA, 398 nt
Filed under: uncultured bacterium
Lineage: Bacteria
Description: bacterial SSU rRNA
Rfam family: Bacterial small subunit ribosomal RNA
Source: RNAcentral
GGGAAUUUUGCGCAAUGGGGGAAACCCUGACGCAGCAACGCCGCGUGGAGGAUGAAAUCCCUUGGGAUGUAAACUCCUUUCGAUCGGGACGAUAAUGACGGUACCGGAAGAAGAAGCCCCGGCUAACUUCGUGCCAGCAGCCGCGGUAAUACGAGGGGGGCAAGCGUUGUUCGGAAUUAUUGGGCGUAAAGGGUGUGUAGGCGGUUUGGUAAGUUGUAUGUGAAAUCUUCGGGCUCAACCCGAAGUCUGCAUACAAAACUGCCGGGCUUGAGUAUGGGAGAGGUGAGUGGAAUUCCUGGUGUAGCGGUGAAAUGCGUAGAUAUCAGGAGGAACACCUGUGGCGAAAGCGGCUCACUGGACCAUUACUGACGCUGAAACACGAAAGCUAGGGGAGCAAA